GGAUGAAGAAUGAUGAAUAAUCUUAGGAAGAGAGUGACGAUUCAUUUCGUGUGAUCCAUUCUACUUCUAUUUCGCUACGUUCUUUCUGAUUCAUCC
This is a small nucleolar RNA of Ipomoea triloba (trilobed morning glory), 96 nucleotides long. RefSeq annotates it as small nucleolar RNA R32/R81/Z41. NCBI's taxonomy places the organism in Eukaryota, Viridiplantae, Streptophyta, Magnoliopsida, Solanales, Convolvulaceae. The transcript has a single exon. The record is from RefSeq and is a predicted model, not a curated record.